UACGUAGGUGGCGAGCGUUGUCCGGAAUAACUGGGCGUAAAGGGAGCGUAGGUGGCGAAAUAAGUUAGAUGUGAAAGCCCGAGGCUCAACUUCGGAAUAGCAUCUAAAACUGUUUGGCUAGAGUGCAGGAGGGGUAAAUGGAAUUUCUAGUGUAGCGGUGAAAUGCGUAGAUAUUAGGAAGAACACCAGAGGCGAAGGCGGUUUACUGGACUGCAACUGACACUGAGGCUCGAAAGCGUGGGGAGCAAACAGG
Molecule: ribosomal RNA, 253 nt
Filed under: uncultured bacterium
Lineage: Bacteria
Description: partial 16S ribosomal RNA
Rfam family: Bacterial small subunit ribosomal RNA
Source: RNAcentral